CCUCCCAAAAGGUAACGGAGGCGCUCAAAGGUUCUCUCAGUACGGUCGGAAAUCGUACGUAGAGUGUAAAGGCAAAAGAGAGCUUGAUUGCAAGACAUACAGGUCGAGCAAGGAUGAAAAUCGGACUUAGUGAUCCGGUGGUUCUGCGUGGAAGGGCCAUCGCUCAACGGAUAAAAGCUACCCUGGGGAUAACAGGCUUAUCUCCCCCAAGAGUCCACAUCGACGGGGAGGUUUGGCACCUCGAUGUCGGCUCAUCACAUCCUGGGGCUGUAGUAGGUCCCAAGGGUUGGGCUGUUCGCCCAUUAAAGUGGUACGCGAGCUGGGUUCAGAACGUCGUGAGACAGUUCGGUCCCUAUCCGUCGCAGGCGUAGGAAAUUUGAGAAGACCUGUCCUUAGUACGAGAGGACCGGGAUGGACGUACCUCUGGUGUACCAGUUGUCCUGCCAAGGGCAUGGCUGGGUAGCUAUGUACGGAAUGGAUAAGCGCUGAAAGCAUCUAAGCGCGAAGCCAACUUCAAGAUAAGAUUUCCCACCGCAAGGGUAAGACCCCAGAAAGACUAUCUGGUUGAUAGGUCGAAGGUGUAAGUGCAGCAAUGUACUUAGCUUAUCGAUACUAAUAGGUCGAGGACUUGACCAAU
Molecule: ribosomal RNA, 637 nt
Filed under: Clostridioides difficile
Lineage: Bacteria; Bacillati; Bacillota; Clostridia; Peptostreptococcales; Peptostreptococcaceae
Description: partial 23S ribosomal RNA
Rfam family: Bacterial large subunit ribosomal RNA
Source: RNAcentral